Molecule: ribosomal RNA, 473 nt
Filed under: uncultured Bacteroidota bacterium
Lineage: Bacteria; Pseudomonadati; Bacteroidota
Description: bacterial SSU rRNA
Rfam family: Bacterial small subunit ribosomal RNA
Source: RNAcentral
UGAACGCUAGCGGCAGGCUUAACACAUGCAAGUCGAGGGGUAACAGGGAUUGCUUGCAAUCCGCUGACGACCGGCGCACGGGUGCGUAACGCGUAUGCAACCUACCUUUUACAAGGGGAUAGCCCAGAGAAAUUUGGAAUAAUACCCUAUACGAUCAUUAAUUGGCAUCAAUUAAUGAAGAAAACUCCGGUGGUAAAAGAUGGGCAUGCGUCCUAUUAGUUAGUUGGUAAGGUAACGGCUUACCAAGACUUCGAUAGGUAGGGGUCCUGAGAGGGAGAUCCCCCACACUGGUACUGAGACACGGACCAGACUCCUACGGGAGGCAGCAGUGAGGAAUAUUGGACAAUGGAGGCAACUCUGAUCCAGCCAUGCCGCGUGCAGGAAGACGGCCCUACGGGUUGUAAACUGCUUUUAUACAGGAAGAACUAUAUCUACGUGUAGAUAUUUGACGGUACUGUACGAAUAAGGAUCGG